UACCAGCACCCCGAGUGGUCGGGACGUUUAUUGGGCCUAAAGCAUCCGUAGCCGGUUCUACAAGUCUUCCGUUAAAUCCAACUGCUUAACAGGUGGGCUGCGGAAGAUACUAUAGAGCUAGGAGGCGGGAGAGGCAAGCGGUACUCGAUGGGUAGGGGUAAAAUCCGUUGAUCCAUUGAAGAACACCAGUGGCGAAGGCGGCUUGCCAGAACGCGCUCGACGGUGAGGGAUGAAAGCUGGGGGAGCAAACAGG
RNAcentral lists this ribosomal RNA (253 nucleotides) under uncultured bacterium. Its description in RNAcentral is "partial 16S ribosomal RNA". It matches the Rfam family "Archaeal small subunit ribosomal RNA", at positions 474 to 727 of the family's 1478-position model. The record is from RNAcentral.